RNAcentral lists this transfer RNA (87 nucleotides) under Gammaproteobacteria bacterium. Its description in RNAcentral is "tRNA-Leu". It matches the Rfam family "tRNA". Rfam says of the family: Transfer RNA (tRNA) molecules are approximately 80 nucleotides in length. Their secondary structure includes four short double-helical elements and three loops (D, anti-codon, and T loops). Further hydrogen bonds mediate the characteristic L-shaped molecular structure. tRNAs have two regions of fundamental functional importance: the anti-codon, which is responsible for specific mRNA codon recognition, and the 3' end, to which the tRNAs corresponding amino acid is attached (by aminoacyl-tRNA synthetases). tRNAs cope with the degeneracy of the genetic code in two manners: having more than one tRNA (with a specific anti-codon) for a particular amino acid; and 'wobble' base-pairing, i.e. permitting non-standard base-pairing at the 3rd anti-codon position. RNAcentral also lists the same sequence under 1 other name. The record is from RNAcentral. Lineage: Bacteria; Pseudomonadati; Pseudomonadota; Gammaproteobacteria.
GCCCAGGUGGCGAAAUUGGUAGACGCAAGGGACUUAAAAUCCCUCGCUUGAAAGGGCGUGCCGGUUCGAUUCCGGCCCUGGGCACCA